This 460-nucleotide ribosomal RNA is filed under the name uncultured bacterium. Its description in RNAcentral is "bacterial SSU rRNA". It matches the Rfam family "Bacterial small subunit ribosomal RNA", at positions 28 to 482 of the family's 1533-position model. The record is from RNAcentral.
GACGAACGCUGGCGGCGUGCUUAACACAUGCAAGUCGAGCGGUAAGGCCCUUUCGGGGGUACACGAGCGGCGAACGGGUGAGUAACACGUGGGUGACCUGCCCUCAGCUCUGGGAUAAGCCUGGGAAACCGGGUCUAAUACCGGAUAUGACUCCAUGACGCAUGUUGUGGGGUGGAAAGCCUUGUGCGGCUGAGGAUGGGCCCGCGGCCUAUCAGCUUGUUGGUGGGGUGAUGGCCUACCAAGGCGACGACGGGUAGCCGGCCUGAGAGGGCGACCGGCCACACUGGGACUGAGACACGGCCCAGACUCCUACGGGAGGCAGCAGUGGGGAAUCUUGCGCAAUGGGCGAAAGCCUGACGCAGCGACGCCGCGUGAGGGAGGAAAUCCUUCGGGAUGUAAACCUCACAAGCAAGGGAAGAGAGCUCAGGGCCGAAUAAGCUUUGAGUCCGACGGUACCUUG